This 450-nucleotide ribosomal RNA is filed under the name uncultured bacterium. RNAcentral describes it as "partial 16S ribosomal RNA". It matches the Rfam family "Bacterial small subunit ribosomal RNA", at positions 338 to 795 of the family's 1533-position model. The record is from RNAcentral.
CCUACGGGGGGCUGCAGUAAGGAAUAUUGGACAAUGGUGGCAACACUGAUCCAGCCAUGCCGCGUGAAGGAUGAAGGCCCUAUGGGUUGUAAACUUCUUUUAUAUGAUAAAAAACCAUUCUACGUGUAGAGUGCUGAUUGUCGUAAGAAUAAGGGUCGGCUAACUCCGUGCCAGCAGCCGCGGUAAUACGGAGGACCCAAGCGUUUUUCUGGUUUAUAAGGUUUAGUGGGUGGAUUGGCAAGUCGGUGGUGAAAUCCCACAGCUUAACUGUGGAACUGCCUUUGAUACUGUCAACCUUGAGUACAGAUGAUGUGGGCGGAAUAUGACAUGUAGCGGUGAAAUGCUUAGAUAUGUCAUAGAACACCGAUUGCGAAGGCAGCUCACAAAACUGUAACUGACGCUGAGGCACGAAAGCAUGGGGAUCGAACAGGAUUAGAUACCCUAGUAGUC